AGUGAACGCUGGCGGUAGGCCUAACACAUGCAAGUCGAACGGCAGCACAGUAAGAGCUUGCUCUUACGGGUGGCGAGUGGCGGACGGGUGAGGAAUACAUCGGAAUCUACUUUUUCGUGGGGGAUAACGUAGGGAAACUUACGCUAAUACCGCAUACGACCUACGGGUGAAAGCAGGGGAUCUUCGGACCUUGCGCGAUUGAAUGAGCCGAUGUCGGAUUAGCUAGUUGGCGGGGUAAAGGCCCACCAAGGCGACGAUCCGUAGCUGGUCUGAGAGGAUAACCGCCAACACUGGAACUGAGCCACGCCCCAGCCCCCUAGGGGAGGCAGCAGUGGGGAAUGUUGGACAAGGGGCGCAAGCCUGCCCCACCAAUACGGGGUGGGAAAAAAAGCCUUGCGUUUUCUAAAGCCUUUUUGUUGGGAAAAAAAAACAACAGGUUAACACCCCGCUUUUCUGACGGUCCCAAAAAAAAAAGCCCCGCCUAUCUUCGUC
This 492-nucleotide ribosomal RNA is filed under the name uncultured bacterium. Its description in RNAcentral is "partial 16S ribosomal RNA". It matches the Rfam family "Bacterial small subunit ribosomal RNA", at positions 29 to 507 of the family's 1533-position model. The record is from RNAcentral.